UUCCGGUUGAUCCUGCCGGACCUGACUGCUAUCGGAUUGAUACUAAGCCAUGCGAGUCAUUGUAGCAAUACAAGGCAGACGGCUCAGUAACGCGUAGUCAACCUACCUUAUGGACGGGGAUAACCUCGGGAAACUGAGAAUAAUACCCGAUAGAACAUGAUGCCUGGAAUGGUUUAUGUUUCAAAUAAUUUAUUGCCGUAAGAUGGGACUGCGGCCUAUCAGUUUGUUGGUGAGGUAAUGGCCCACCAAGACUAUUACAGGUACGGGCUCUGAGAGGAGUAGCCCGGAGAUGGGUACUGAGACACGGACCCAGGCCCUAUGGGGCGCAGCAGGCGAGAAAACUUUGCAAUGUGCGAAAGCACGACAAGGUUAAUCCGAGUGGUUUCUGCUAAAGGAACCUUUUGUCAGUCCUAGAAACACUAACGAAUAAGGGGUGGGCAAGUUCUGGUGUCAGCCGCCGCGGUAAAACCAGCACCUCAAGUGGUCAGGAUGAUUAUUGGGCCUAAAGCAUCCGUAGCCUGCUUUGUAAGUUUUCGGUUAAAUCCAUACGCUCAACGUAUGGGCUGCCGGGAAUACUGCAAAGCUAGGGAGUGGGAGAGGUAGACGGUACUCGGUAGGAAGGGGUAAAAUCCUUUGAUCUAUUGAUGACCACCUGAGGCGAAGGCGGUCUACCAGAACACGUCCGACGGUGAGGGAUGAAAGCUGGGGGAGCAAACCGGAUUAGAUACCCGGGUAGUCCCAGCUGUAAACUAUGCAAACUCGGUGAUGCAUUGGCUUGAUGCCAAUGCAGUGCCGCAGGGAAGCCGUUAAGUUUGCCGCCUGGGAAGUACGUACGCAAGUAUGAAACUUAAAGGAAUUGGCGGGGGAGCACCACAAGGGGUGAAGCCUGCGGUUCAAUUGGAGUCAACGCCGGG
This 914-nucleotide ribosomal RNA is filed under the name uncultured archaeon. RNAcentral describes it as "bacterial SSU rRNA". It matches the Rfam family "Archaeal small subunit ribosomal RNA", at positions 1 to 922 of the family's 1478-position model. The record is from RNAcentral.